Non-coding RNA from Salmo salar (Atlantic salmon), 58 nucleotides. The record is from Rfam. Lineage: Eukaryota; Metazoa; Chordata; Actinopteri; Salmoniformes; Salmonidae.
UGGCUCAGUUGGUAGAGCAUGGUGUUUGCAAUGCCAGGGUUGUGGGUUCGAUUCCCAC